GCUCUUCCCUGCACCUUGUUCUUUCCGAUAGAAGCAUUUUUCCUGCCUCACUUAGAUGAUGACGGCGCUAUUCAGAUACGUUUAGUGACGUGGCAGAAGCAGAUGCCAUUUCUAAACUAAGGACGGGGCUGGGAUGAGGAAAGGGAGGUAUUUAAUUUGACCGUUUCUGCCUCCUUCUGUCAGACAUAUUCGACAGGAUUUAUUCAGUGCUUGAGGUAAGUCAGGCAUUUUUAUAAAUGCCUGGGAACACGAAACAAAAAGUAGGUGGCAAAGCUUCGAUUUAAUUGGAAAGACUGCAUAACUUUUUGCACCUCUGAACGACUGGUCUGGGAGGAGAUGGAGGCUGGGCUUCCUGCAGUGUAGACGGGGUCUGUUACACCCGCUCCCUCCCAGAACUGCUGGAUCCCAAUCUGCAGUUUCACAAGCCCCCAGGUGACUUAUCCACGCACUUUCAAGUGUGAGAUGGGCAGCUCUGGAGGGCACCCAGGAGCUCCUUCAAAUAUUUGGAAGACCAACAUUUGAAAGAGUAAGUGUAUUUGUUUUGCUUUGCUCUAAAAGGUAGGUUUAAGUUUAAUUAACAUAAGCCACAAGAAAACAAGAUUUCCAAAUCCUGUACUCAACAGGGGAUUUGGAGUUGGGCCUUCUCCCAAACCUUACUGGCUUGUUACUAGUCGCCAGGUGAGCUGAAGCUGGAGGAACUCGGCGAAACUUCGUCUCUCUGAUUCUUAUGACUCCUAAGAUGGGAAUGUUGUUCUCUAGCCCUCACUGGGUGACUGCUGUUGGCUUUUUCCCAUCUAAUGAGAUAGGAAAUUUGAAAGUUGUAAUUAUUAACUGCCCGGGUCCGAGGUAGAGCGCUUUGCUCUGUGAGGUAGUUAGUGGCUUGUCACACAUUGAGGGACAGUGCAAAUGGAGGUGGGGAUGUGUAUUUGGGGCUCCUGUGAAAUUCAGUAUGGUUGGGGCAUGUAGUGGGGAUGGAGGUGGAGGUGGAGGUGAAGAAUACGAGAGCUGAUGGCAAAA
RNAcentral lists this long non-coding RNA (1017 nucleotides) under Macaca mulatta (Rhesus monkey). Its description in RNAcentral is "lncRNA (ENSMMUG00000053440.1)". Lineage: Eukaryota; Metazoa; Chordata; Mammalia; Primates; Cercopithecidae. The record is from RNAcentral.